Molecule: long non-coding RNA, 319 nt
Filed under: Brassica napus (rape)
Lineage: Eukaryota; Viridiplantae; Streptophyta; Magnoliopsida; Brassicales; Brassicaceae
Description: long non-coding RNA (BNAP_LNC010374)
Source: RNAcentral
UUUCAUAAGAACCCUUUACGUGAUAACUCUAUAGCCAACUUUCCUCAAAAAUGGUUUUGGCAGUGGCCGCUACUAGGGAUGUCAAAUGAGUGGAUUGUACAUGGACGGCCCGUGUCCAAAUUAUUAUGGUUUAAUAUGGACACAUCCAUAUUAGACCAAAUUUAAUUGGGUUUAAAUGGACGAGCUCAAUUAGACUCAUGGGUAAAACCGGGCUACGACUAUCUGGACAUUAGACAGCUCAAUUUCCCAAAUAGCUAAAAUAUCUAGAUUUAGGAAAUUAGGAAAAAAAUAACAAUUUUAUUUUAUGUUACCAAAAUCA